This 1414-nucleotide long non-coding RNA is filed under the name Sus scrofa (pig). Its description in RNAcentral is "lncRNA (ENSSSCG00035026634.1)". Lineage: Eukaryota; Metazoa; Chordata; Mammalia; Artiodactyla; Suidae. The record is from RNAcentral.
GUGAACCAUCCCAAAGGAUCUUGAGGGAAAGACCCCAAACAGGCUUUCCAGGGCAGGGCCAGCCAGGGUAGAGAAGAGGGCCAAGCUUUUGGGGCUUCAGACUCCAUGGACACAGGGCAUUGAACUUGGGAGUUUGAAGCGGAUUCCUGUCUCGGUUUCCCGCGUAUCAGCAGUUGGAAUCGUGAACAAAUGACAGCGACUUCCUGAACUGCUUCUGGAAUAAAACCUGUCUGCCUGUAUCAUAGGCAGAAAAGGAUGAGGUCAGCUAUUUGAAAUCCCUUUGUAAAGUGUGACGUGCUCCAAGCAAGGAAGUGGGUAUGGAUCCUCCUUCUCAUUCCUCUCUGGAAUCUCCUUGGGAGAGCCCAGAUCACAGGGGUCAGGAGUCCCCUUAAUUUGUCCCCAAGCCAGGCCGGGAGCAGAAUCUCCUCAGCAUCCACUUCAGAUGCUUUUCUGGCUGAGCAGUGCUCUGCCAUCAUCCUGCAUUUAUCCUCAGGAUGGUAGAGAGAAGUGGAACAGACCACCAGCCCCUUAACUGUCCGGAGGAAUCUGCAUCCUGAGGUCCCCAGGCCAGUGCUCUUUCCACAAUACACACCAUCCGGAAAAGGGUGUUCCUCUCCGGGCCCCUGCCCCGCACCCUCACUGCAUCCUCCUGGACUGAGAACAACUCUGGAGGUAGAAGUUGGCAGUUUAGCUCGCCUUGGAAGGACCCAGAAAACUGAAGUGUCACUGGAGUUCUCAUUGGCUGAGCAUCCAGGACCAGGUGGGAGAAAGCGUCGACUCUGGGGGAGGUAAGAAGAGAUGAGGCAUCACUUCCAUUUGCAUUGAGAACACAUGCAAGGUUGGCUUGAGCACCACCCCUGAGUAGAAGCUGGUGUCUACUGUCUUAGGCCACAACGGCUCAUUCCAGACCCCCAGUUUCAACCAUUUACCAGACUUCCCCAUCCCAAACAGUGAAGUGAGAUCAACUUCUGAUAUUGCCCUAUGGGAAACACACAUGUGUUUCAACAGCCUUUCUGUAGAACUUCUUUGGUGGCCGCAAAGCUUUCGCAUGCACAUUGGAGGGAGCAUGGAGUGGCUUUAGUUCCUUGUUGGUUCCAGCUGAGAAAGAACCCCUGAGCUGGAAACUGGGGUCAGUGGAGUUCAAAAGCAAACUCCUGGUAUCCUCGCACUUUUCGGAUUCCUGGCCACUCACCCAAAUGAACCUCACUCAGAGAAUUUGAAAAUGCCCUGAGGAAAUAGUUAUCCGUGAAAUCAUUUUGUGUGGAGGAUCAGGAAGAGUGAAUGUCUUGGCACCAUGUCACAAGUUUCCUUUUUGUGCAUGUGUGACAAACGCGGAGCACUUUUAUCCAUGCUAGACUCCAUAACAAGCUCGUGACAUGCAUUGUAUCUUUCAGUCUCAACUUGUCUCUCUGAA